RNAcentral lists this ribosomal RNA (253 nucleotides) under uncultured bacterium. Its description in RNAcentral is "partial 16S ribosomal RNA". It matches the Rfam family "Bacterial small subunit ribosomal RNA", at positions 524 to 776 of the family's 1533-position model. The record is from RNAcentral.
UACGUAGGGGGCUAGCGUUGUCCGGAAUCAUUGGGCGUAAAGAGCGUGUAGGCGGCCCGGUAAGUCCGCUGUAAAAGUCAAAGGCUCAACCUUUGAAUGUCAGUGGAUACUGCCGGGCUAGAGUCCGGAAGAGGCGAGUGGAACUCCUGGUGUAGCGGUGGAAUGCGCAGAUAUCAGGAAGAACACCUAUGGCGAAGGCAGCUCUCUGGGACGGUACUGACGCUGAGACGCGAAAGCGUGGGGAGCGAACAGG